Molecule: small RNA, 1100 nt
Filed under: Acarospora privigna
Lineage: Eukaryota; Fungi; Ascomycota; Lecanoromycetes; Acarosporales; Acarosporaceae
Description: sequence contains 18S rRNA gene, ITS1, 5.8S rRNA gene, ITS2, 28S rRNA gene
Rfam family: Eukaryotic large subunit ribosomal RNA (bases 504-1100)
Source: RNAcentral
GUGACCUGCGGAAGGAUCAUUACAGAGUUAGGGUCUUCCAGGCCCGAUCUCCAACCCUUUGUGUACCUACCUUUGUUGCUUUGGCGGGCCCGUUGGGGCGACCCACCGGUGGCCUUUGGCUUCCGAGUGCCCGUCAGAGACCCAUCCAAACCUGUCAAUUGUGUCGUCUGAGUACCAAUUCAAUAAUUAAAACUUUCAACAACGGAUCUCUUGGUUCUGGCAUCGAUGAAGAACGCAGCGAAAUGCGAUAAGUAAUGUGAAUUGCAGAAUUCAGUGAAUCAUCGAAUCUUUGAACGCACAUUGCGCCUCUCGGUAUUCCGGGAGGCAUGCCUGUUCGAGCGUCAUUACACCACUCAAGCUCGGCUUGGUGUUGGGCCCUCGUCCCUCGCGGACGUGCCCGGAAAUCAGUGGCGGCGCAGCCCGGCUUCAAGCGCAUCAGUCGUAACAACGCUUUGGAAGUCCGGGUCUGGGUCUGCCAGACAACCCCAUCAUUUUAUCAUGGUUGACCUCGGAUCAGGUAGGGAUACCCGCUGAACUUAAGCAUAUCAAUAAGCGGAGGAAAAGAAACCAACAGGGAUUGCCUCAGUAACGGCGAGUGAAGCGGCAACAGCUCAAAUUUGAAAUCUGGCUCUUUCAGGGUCCGAGUUGUAAUUUGCAGAGGAUGCUUCGGGUUCGGCUCCGGUCUAAGUUCCUUGGAACAGGACGUCAUAGAGGGUGAGAAUCCCGUAUGUGACCGGUCGCCACGCCCGUGUGAAGCUCCUUCGACGAGUCGAGUUGUUUGGGAAUGCAGCUCAAAAUGGGUGGUAAAUUUCAUCUAAAGCUAAAUAUUGGCCAGAGACCGAUAGCGCACAAGUAGAGUGAUCGAAAGAUGAAAAGCACUUUGGAAAGAGAGUCAAACAGUACGUGAAAUUGUUGAAAGGGAAGCGCUUGCAAUCAGACUUGCCCGCGGGUGAUCAGCCGGUAUUCUUACCGGUGCACUCGCCCGUGGUCAGGCCAGCAUCGGUUCGGGCGGCUGGAUAAAGUCCACCGGAACGUAGCUCCCCUCGGGGAGUGUUAUAGCCGGAGGUGCCAUGCAGCCCGCCCGGACCGAGGACCGCGCU